UGGCAGCGGAGAGAAUCAUAUGGAUUAUACCAUUAGUAAGAAUAUCUGCGAAGAAUUCAAAGUAAAAAAUGUUCAGUGCCAGCUGAAACAGCUUUUGUGAUUGAGUACUUCAAGGUGAUGAAGCCACUGGUGAUGGCUCUAAACAUUCUUCAGAGUGAGACCAACACACACGAGGUGGCUCCUACCAGUGAUCUUCAAGCUACAGAGAAAACACAGCAGCCUGGAGAUGUCCUCUGUGACAUGUCAGCUCUUCAUCAAAACAAUCCAGGCUGGUGUUCAAAGGUGCUUUAGUGUCAGGAAGACCCAGAACUCGCUGCAGCAAUACUUCUGCAUUCAGGAGCACCUGUACUGAUAGAGCUGUUGUCAAAGAAAUGAUUUUAUUUUUAUUGUUAGUCUGUAAACAGUGGUUUCUGCUCAGCAGUAGUUUUAAUGCAAUUUCUACAUUAUGACAAAUUAUUUUUGA
Molecule: long non-coding RNA, 463 nt
Organism: Austrofundulus limnaeus
Lineage: Eukaryota; Metazoa; Chordata; Actinopteri; Cyprinodontiformes; Rivulidae
Exons: 2
Source: RefSeq, a predicted model, not a curated record